This is a long non-coding RNA of Mauremys reevesii (Reeves's turtle), 461 nucleotides long. RefSeq lists it as uncharacterized. Lineage: Eukaryota; Metazoa; Chordata; Testudines; Geoemydidae. The record is from RefSeq and is a predicted model, not a curated record. The transcript has 4 exons.
AGAGGCCAGGGGCUGGCGGCUGCGGGGAGGAAAGCGGGGCGGCGGGCAGGUGCCUCUGGUUCCCUCUGCCAUGAGCCGCUGUAUGGAAGGGCAGGGGGCAGGGAUUGACUCGCCAUAAAGCAAAAUCCAGCCACUUUGGGAACCCGAAAGGAGACAUCUGCGUCUCACCUUACACUGCGGCGGCGGCCGUUUUGCAGGGAAGUCUCACAUCCCUCCUCAGGAAAAGCUGUGGAGUUUCCCUUUGAGGAUCCAAGUUUGUCAGUUCACCUCUCCACAGGAAAUCACUGGGAUAAGAAGAGCAGGUGUGUUUGCAGGCCAAGAUUGAGAUGGUUUAGAAGAAUUUUCACAAUUUCAACAUGUCCUCCUCCAGCAGCAAAAUGAAGAGGAGAGCUAAGUUGUCCAUUCAGUAGAUUUGGAUUACAUUUCCCUUUCUCCAGCAACAUUCGAGUGGCUUCAACUUU